RNAcentral lists this non-coding RNA (125 nucleotides) under unclassified sequences. Its description in RNAcentral is "DUF3800-I RNA". It matches the Rfam family "DUF3800-I RNA". Rfam says of the family: Actinobacteria, Firmicutes, Fusobacteria, Proteobacteria (1 example), Tenericutes (2 examples). The record is from Rfam by way of RNAcentral.
UUUGAAUACCGGAGGUACUUACUCCUCGACAGGUCAAUAGUCGGUGGAUGGUUAAGAAUACUAAGCGUAUGUUAAGUACGUCGCCCCGAUUAGAUCCCACUCAAUGAGUGGGAUUUUUUUAUUAA